UAUAUUUCUCUGCUGGUGUCGCGCCCCCUCUCCCUCCACCACCUCACAUAUCAAACCGCCAGCGGGGCUCAUGCGCAAGAUGAUGACAGCGAGAUGGGGGAAGGCUUUGUGUGUGUAUGUGUUCUUUCGACGUGAGUCUAUGUCUGUGCCAUACAUUACGAGGUCCUACCCCACUUAACACCGCGCUAGGGUGCUGCGCCGACUCAGUCGUCGGAGAGCACGGCCCCCUGCCUCGGACUCUACCCACACACCUCUCGCUCCGCAGGUCGCCUCACCGCCGCUCCCGCAUCAUGCCGGUCGCCGCCUGGUGCAUCCUCCCCUCGGGGUGCCUCAGGCCUCCCCCACACCGCUGUAGGCAGCGCGAGGGCCGGGGGUGGGAUAUGCGCUCGCGUCACGCUGAAGCUCUGCCUGUCACAUGGAUGGCGCAGACGUGUUCACUGCCGGGAGUCGCUGUGACCCUCCCUACGCCGUAGCUGCUGGACCCUGAGAUACGGCGCGCUGAGGUGCCCACCGUCAAACAGGGUGUGGAACAAGCUGCACCAAAGAGUCAAAUACAAAAAAAAACGAUGUGGAGGAAUUUGGGAAUGUUCUUCGUGGCCAGAGUGCCGAUCAGCUGUUUGUGCACACGCGCAUGACCCUUCUUCAUUCAGACGCGUAAGGGGCGAUGCACACCAGCGGCGGUACCCAGCACCUGGGCGCGUGUUUCUUUCUUCUUCUACAUCGCUGCGAGGCAAGCGAGGUGUACAGGAACGAGUACCAAAAUCCAAUGGCGGGCAGUGCAUCAUCGUCCCUCACCUUUUUUUCCCUUUGUUGUCUGCCUGUUUCAG
Molecule: unclassified non-coding RNA, 827 nt
Filed under: Leishmania donovani
Lineage: Eukaryota; Euglenozoa; Kinetoplastea; Trypanosomatida; Trypanosomatidae
Description: gene:unknown
Source: RNAcentral